GGAGUACUGAAUUUUAAUGAAAUGGUGCUGUAGUAUUAAAGUGUAGAAUAUCUUCUAGCUCAAUUAUGUUGGAAUUUCUAAUUCGAGUACUAGAGGUUUCUUUUGGGCUUUGCUCUCUGUCUUCCUGUCUGUUGGAUCCAGACUGACCAAGCAGCUGUCAUCUAUAGCCUUGCUGACUGUGAGAGAUGGUAUGGUAAAACAUCGUUUGGUGCUUAAGAUCUCAGUCCAGAAGUGACCCAAGUAAGUUACACUCAUAUGUAUGGUUUUGCUAAACAUCAUGGGUCCUGGGAAGUUCAAUCCUACAAAUGUACCUAGCCAGAGAGGAC
This 326-nucleotide long non-coding RNA is filed under the name Macaca nemestrina (pig-tailed macaque). Its description in RNAcentral is "lncRNA (ENSMNEG00000046061.1)". The record is from RNAcentral. Lineage: Eukaryota; Metazoa; Chordata; Mammalia; Primates; Cercopithecidae.